CCUCUCGUAGUUUACUGGUAGAACAUUACUACGUAAAGCCAAAGGUCCCGGGUCCGAUUCCCGGCGGGGGUG
RNAcentral lists this transfer RNA (72 nucleotides) under Agrilus planipennis (emerald ash borer). It matches the Rfam family "tRNA". From Rfam's summary of the family: Transfer RNA (tRNA) molecules are approximately 80 nucleotides in length. Their secondary structure includes four short double-helical elements and three loops (D, anti-codon, and T loops). Lineage: Eukaryota; Metazoa; Arthropoda; Insecta; Coleoptera; Buprestidae. The record is from Rfam by way of RNAcentral.